Molecule: long non-coding RNA, 652 nt
Filed under: Sus scrofa (pig)
Lineage: Eukaryota; Metazoa; Chordata; Mammalia; Artiodactyla; Suidae
Description: lncRNA (ENSSSCG00055029783.1)
Source: RNAcentral
GAGAGUGCAUGUCCAUCAAGGUCACGCUUGAGACUAGCAGAGGCGAAACCAGCGGGAAGACGACUUCGCCACCAAGGGCCGGCGGGCCUGCUGGGAUACUCCGGGUGAGUGGGACGCACUGGGCGGGGUUUCGCCGUUCCGAGGAUGUCGGGGAAGGGGGGUCACUGCCAGAUGGAGGUUCCGGUUCCGGUGCAGUGUCUGGCUGGUUGCGUUGCUACGGCAGCGCGGUUGAGCGCUCUCGUCUGUGUGAUCGGGGCUUCGCUGACUUUCCGGCCUACUUAAGCCCCUGGGCCUGGGCCCAGGAAGGGUUUGUUGAACCGGGAGCUAAGAAGGGAAUUGGCUCGUUCGACAGACGUUUUCUGCGCAGCUGUGGCGUGCAAGGCACGGGGCCGGUGCGGGACCUCCAGAGAGACCUGUGCCCAAAGCUUGAGAAAUGAGAAGCAGAUUCCUGGAUUCCAGGUAAAUCAGAGGAACAAACCUGAACAGAAAUAUACAGGAAGUGAUGUGAUGCUGAAGCUUAACGCUUAUUUCAGAAGUCUGGUAUCUGGUGCUCUUAACAGCAGAAACUAUAUUAUUUGCAAAAUCACCACGCUUUUACUUGUAUUAUAUAGUAAUUUUUUAAAAAAUAAAUAUUGACAAUUUGUUCUUGAAA